GAUGAACGCUGGCGGUAUGCUUAACACAUGCAAGUCGAACGGACUCUUCGGAGUUAGUGGCGGACGGGUGAGUAACGCGUGAGAAUCUGGCUUUGGGUUCGGGACAACCACUGGAAACGGUGGCUAAUACCGGAUGUGCCGAGAGGUAAAAGAGAAAUUUCCUGAAGAUGAGCUCGCGUCUGAUUAGCUAGUUGGUGAGGUAAAGGCUCACCAAGGCAGCGAUCAGUAGCUGUUCUGAGAGGAUGACCAGCCACACUGGGACUGAGACACGGCCCAGAGCACUACGGGAGGCAGGAGUGGGGAAUUACCCGGCAUGGGCGAAAGCCUGACGGAGCAAUACCGAGUGAGAGAAGAAGGCACUUGGGUUGUAAACCUCUUUUCGUAGGGAAGAACAAAAUGACGGUACCUAAGGAAUCAGCAUCGGCUAACUCCGUG
Molecule: ribosomal RNA, 435 nt
Filed under: uncultured bacterium
Lineage: Bacteria
Description: partial 16S ribosomal RNA
Rfam family: Bacterial small subunit ribosomal RNA
Source: RNAcentral